CAGUCGCCACGGUAAUACAGAGGGUGCGAGCGUUAAUCGGAUUUACUGGGCGUAAAGCGUGCGUAGGCGGCUUCUUAAGUCGGAUGUGAAAUCCCUGAGCUUAACUUAGGAAUUGCAUUCGAUACUGGGAAGAUAGAGUAUGGGAGAGGAUGGUAGAAUUCCAGGUGUAGCGGUGAAAUGCGUAGAGAUCUGGAGGAAUACCGAUGGCGAAGGCAGCCAUCUGGCCUAAUACUGACGCUGAGGUACGAAAGCAUGGGGAGCAAACAGGAUUAGAUACCCCUGUAGUCCCUGUCUCUUAUAC
Molecule: ribosomal RNA, 301 nt
Filed under: uncultured bacterium
Lineage: Bacteria
Description: partial 16S ribosomal RNA
Rfam family: Bacterial small subunit ribosomal RNA
Source: RNAcentral